GAAAUGCGAUAAUUAAUGUGAAUUGCAGAAUUCAGUGAAUCAUCGAGUCUUUGAACGCACAUUGCGCCCCCUGGUAUUCCGGGGGCAUGCCUGUCCGAGCGUCAUUUCUGCCCUCAAGCACGGCUUGUGUGUUGGGCUUCCGUCCCUGGCAACGGGGACGGGCCCAAAAGGCAGUGGCGGCACCAUGUCUGGUCCUCGAGCGUAUGGGGCUUUGUCACCCGCUCCCGUAGGUCCAGCUGGCAGCUAGCCUCGCAACCAAUCUUUUUAACCAGGUUGACCUCGGAUCAGGUAGGGAUACCCGCUGAACUUAAGC
RNAcentral lists this unclassified non-coding RNA (313 nucleotides) under plant metagenome. RNAcentral describes it as "partial contains 5.8S ribosomal RNA, internal transcribed spacer 2, and large subunit ribosomal RNA". The stretch from base 1 to 104 matches the Rfam family "5.8S ribosomal RNA", at positions 50 to 154 of the family's 154-position model. The record is from RNAcentral.